GCGCGAAACCUCUGCAAUGCGGGAAACCGUGACAGGGGGAUUCCAAGUGCUCAUGCAUUGCAUGGGCUGUUCUUUGGUCUAAGUAACCAGAGGAGUAAGGGCUGGGCAAGACCGGUGCCAGCCGCCGCGGUAAUACCGGCAGCUCGAGUGGUAGCCGCGAUUAUUGGGCCUAAAACGUUCGUAGCCGGAUAAGUAAGUCUUUGGUUAAAUCCUGCGACUUAACCGUGGGAAAUCUAGAGAUACUGCUUGUCUUGAGACCGGGAGAGGUUGGAGGUACUCCCGAGGGUAGGGGUGAAAUCCUGUAAUCCUGGGGGGACCACCUGUGGCGAAGGCGUCCAACUGGAACGGGUCUGACGGUGAGGGACGAAACCGUGGGGAGCGAGCCGGAUUAGAGACCCGA
RNAcentral lists this ribosomal RNA (400 nucleotides) under uncultured bacterium. RNAcentral's name for it is "bacterial SSU rRNA". It matches the Rfam family "Archaeal small subunit ribosomal RNA", at positions 339 to 740 of the family's 1478-position model. The record is from RNAcentral.